RNAcentral lists this ribosomal RNA (497 nucleotides) under uncultured bacterium. RNAcentral's name for it is "partial 16S ribosomal RNA". It matches the Rfam family "Bacterial small subunit ribosomal RNA", at positions 28 to 507 of the family's 1533-position model. The record is from RNAcentral.
GAUGAACGCUGGCGGCGUGCCUAAUACAUGCAAGUCGAGCGAACAGACGAGGAGCUUGCUCCUCUGACGUUAGCGGCGGACGGGUGAGUAACACGUGGAUAACCUACCUAUAAGACUGGUAUCACUUCGGGAAACCGGAGCAAAUACCGGAUAAUAUAUUGAACCGCAUGGUUCAAUAGUGAAAGACGGUUUUGCUGUCACUUAUAGAUGGAUCCGCGCCGCAUUAGCUAGUUGGUAAGGUAACGACUUACCAAGGCAACGAUGCGUAGCCGACCUGAGAGGGUGAUCGGCCACACUGGAACUGAGACACGGUCCAGACGCCUACGGGAGGCAGCAGUAGGGAAUCUUCCGCAAGGGGCGAAGGCCUGACGGAGCAACGCCGCGUGAGUGAUGAGGGUCUUCGGAUCGUAAAACUCUGUUAUUAGGGAAGAACAAAUGUGUGAGUAACUAUGCACGUCUUGACGGUACCUAAUCAGAGAGCCACGGCUAACUACGUG